RNAcentral lists this ribosomal RNA (604 nucleotides) under uncultured Oceanospirillales bacterium. RNAcentral's name for it is "bacterial SSU rRNA". It matches the Rfam family "Bacterial small subunit ribosomal RNA", at positions 45 to 638 of the family's 1533-position model. Lineage: Bacteria; Pseudomonadati; Pseudomonadota; Gammaproteobacteria; Oceanospirillales. The record is from RNAcentral.
GGCCUAACACAUGCAAGUCGAGCGGUAGCACAGAGAAGCUUGCUUUUUGGGUGACGAGCGGCGGACGGGUGAGUAACGCGUAGGAAUCUACCUAAUGGUGGGGGAUAGCCCAGGGAAACUUGGAUUAAUACCGCAUAAGUCCUAAGGGAGAAAGCGGGGGAUCUUCGGACCUCGUGCCAUUAGAUGAGCCUGCGUAAGAUUAGCUAGUUGGUGAGGUAAGAGCUCACCAAGGCGACGAUCUUUAGCUGGUCUGAGAGGUUGAUCAGCCACACUGGGACUGAGACACGGCCCAGACUCCUACGGGAGGCAGCAGUGGGGAAUAUUGGACAAUGGGGGCAACCCUGAUCCAGCCAUGCCGCGUGUGUGAAGAAGGCCUUCGGGUUGUAAAGCACUUUCAGAUGUGAGGAAAGGUUACAGAUUAAUACUCUGUAGCUGUGACGUUAACAUCAGAAGAAGGACCGGCUAACUCCGUGCCAGCAGCCGCGGUAAUACGGAGGGUCCGAGCGUUAAUCGGAAUUACUGGGCGUAAAGCGCGCGUAGGUGGUUUCGUCAGUCAGAUGUGAAAGCCCAGGGCUCAACCUUGGAAUUGCACCUGAUACUGCGG